CUGCCGAUAAACGCCAUAGGAGAGGUGCGUUUGAUUUACUGCACAACGGCAGGUUUUCAGAAAGGGCACAUUUCCAAAAUGCCACCAAUAAAUAAAUGAAACUAUAUAAUUUACUCAUUGUCUGUGUGAUCAUAAAGUCUGAAAAACAGCGGAGUCGUGCACUUUUGUGCACGUUUGUGGUGAG
Thalassophryne amazonica is the source of this 184-nucleotide long non-coding RNA. RefSeq lists it as uncharacterized. The record is from RefSeq and is a predicted model, not a curated record. Lineage: Eukaryota; Metazoa; Chordata; Actinopteri; Batrachoidiformes; Batrachoididae. The transcript is spliced from 3 exons.